UACAAAUGUCGGCGGUCAAUCCAUC
RNAcentral lists this small RNA (25 nucleotides) under Bombyx mori (domestic silkworm). Its description in RNAcentral is "ovarian small RNA-20035". Lineage: Eukaryota; Metazoa; Arthropoda; Insecta; Lepidoptera; Bombycidae. The record is from RNAcentral.